CGGCGAAAUCGGAUUGACUACGCCAUGCGAGUCAUUGUAGUAAUACAAGGCAGACGGCUCAGUAACGCGUAGUCAAUCUAACCUAUGGACGGGAAUAACCUCGGGAAACUGAGUAUAAUGCCCGAUAGAACAUUAUGCCUGGAAUGGUUUAUGUUCCAAAUGAUUUAUCGCCGUAGGAUGGGACUGCGGCCUAUCAGUUUGUUGGUGAGGUAAUGGCCCACCAAGACUAUUACAGGUACGGGCUCUGAGAGGAGUAGCCCGGAGAUGGGUACUGAGACACGGACCCAGGCCCUAUGGGGCGCAGCAGGCGAGAAAACUUUGCAAUGUGCGAAAGCACGACAAGGUUAAUCUGAGUGGUUUCUGCUAAAGGAACCUUUUGUCGGUCCUAGAAACACCGAUGAAUAAGGGGUGGGCAAGUUCUGGUGUCAGCCGCCGCGGUAAAACCAGCACCUCAAGUGGUCAGGAUGAUUAUUGGGCCUAAAGCAUCCGUAGCCGGCUCUGUAAGUUUUCGGUUAAAUCUGUACGCUCAACGUACAGGCUGCCGGGAAUACUGCAGAGCUAGGGAGUGGGAAAGGUAGACGGUACUCGGUAGGAAGGGGUAAAAUCCUUUGAUCUAUUGAUGACCACCUGUGGCGAAGGCGGUCUACCAGAACACGUCCGACGGUGAGGGAUGAAAGCUGGGGGAGCAAACCGGAUUAGAUACCCGGGUAGUCCCAGCUGUAAACUAUGCAAACUCAGUGAUGCAUUGGCUUGUGGCCAAUGCAGUGCUGCAAGGAAGCCGUUAAGUUUGCCGCCUGGGAAGUACGUACGCAAGUAUGAAACUCAAAGGAAUUGACGGAAU
Molecule: ribosomal RNA, 841 nt
Filed under: uncultured crenarchaeote
Lineage: Archaea; Thermoproteati; Thermoproteota
Description: bacterial SSU rRNA
Rfam family: Archaeal small subunit ribosomal RNA
Source: RNAcentral